CAUAGUUUAAAAAAAUAUCAGUUUUGUAGAUUAGAAAUGAAGACUAAAAUCUUCCAUAAACU
This 62-nucleotide transfer RNA is filed under the name Rhyacotriton variegatus (southern torrent salamander). Its description in RNAcentral is "tRNA-Thr". Lineage: Eukaryota; Metazoa; Chordata; Amphibia; Caudata; Rhyacotritonidae. The record is from RNAcentral.